GUUACAGAAAGGAAAGUGUUUAAGUCUAAAGAAAUGAAAAUUACAUAUUCUCUUGUUCGAGAGUUUUGGAUUCGGUCUUUUGCUUCUACGCCUUUUCUCCCUUUUAUACCUCAUAGACGAUCUCUUUGUGAUUAACUACUCUGAAAACUGCUUGAUCGUCCUACAACUACCCACUUUCUUUGUAGUGGCCAUUUUGUCAUGAAAUCGCCUUUUAACUGCUGUCAUUAUCUUUCAUCGUCCAACUGCCUUCGAUUGACUUCCUUGAGUUGUGGAACGUGAUAAGGCUGCUUUAACAACUGCCUUGAUAACUGCAUUCCUUGAUAAUUACGAUGCGUUAUGUUUGUUGACACCUUAGGCGACUUGAAGGUUUGGGCGAGAGUAGAAUAACAGCUCUGGGCGACCGUAUGACACCCGUUCGUUCAGAUUCUGAGCGACUUGCAAACUUGGGCGAUGGCAUUACCGCAUUCUUGGGCCUCUUGUUUGGGCCUUCAACUUGACUCGUUUGAUUGAACUUCAUUCUUUGGGCCGUCUGUUUUGGGGAUUCUCCAAUUGGGCUUUACUCCUUGGGCUGUUCGACUUGGGCUGAAUUUUUAUGUGUCAACAAUAAUGGAGGCUUACUCUUUCUCCAUUUUUAUACGCUACAACCAUACUUCUCUAUUUCUCCACACUAUCUCUUUCACCAUUUUCUCAUGAUAUUAACCGUGUAUCUUUAGAAAGUUUAUUUUUUAGCACAUAAGUAAGUUUAAAUAAAAACAUUAUGUUUAUAUAUGUACGUAAAAGGUAUAUAGUAACCAUUUGGAUUACGAAAAAUAAUUUCAAUCAAAAUGUUUACGAACCGUUUAAAUAAUAAUUUAUUGAGGGGGUUAAUUCAAGAGCAAAAGUGUGAAUUCCAUAAAUAUAUGAUUGAAAAUAUGUUUGAAGAAAAAUAAAAUUAAAACCAAAUAUGUUAACAAAUGAAUAUAUUUAUUUUUCGAGAAAUGAGUUUUUAUUAUUAUUUCAUUUUAAAUCAUAAAAUGAUUCUAAUUUUAAUAUGUUAGAUUGUGCUUCAAAAUUACAUAAUCUAUCAAAUAUAAUUUUUAAAAUUAAUUUUUAUAAAGUAAUAUGUUUUUAUGAUUUUUUUUUUUNUGUUUCGCGCGGGUUAACUCGCUAACAAUUAAAGGGGAUCAGACGAUUGUGUAAGGGACGAAACCUCUUGAGACAAAGUCCCAAAAAGGGGUGUUCUUUUAUUGGCGAUGAACUUUACAAUUGGAAACGAAAAACAACGUGCCUCCAAGGGGCGCAAGCACACGAGUUACAGAAAGGAAAGUAUUUAAGUCUAAAAGCUAAAGAAAUGAAAAUUACAUAUUCUCUUGUUCGAGAGUUUUGGAUUCGGUCCUUUGCUUCUACGCCUUUUCUCCCUUUUAUACCUCAUAGACGAUCUCUUUGUGAUUAACUACUCUGAAAACUGCUUGAUCGUCCUAUAACUACCCACUUUCUUUGUAGUGGCCAUUUUGUCAUGAAAUCGCCUUUUAACUGCUGUCAUUAUCUUUCAUCGUCCAACUGCCUUCGAUUGACUUCCUUGAGUUGUGGAACGUGAUAAGGCUGCUUUAACAACUGCCUUGAUAACUGCAUUCCUUGAUAAUUACGAUGCGUUAUGUUUGUUGACACCUUAGGCGACUUGAAGGUUUGGGCGAGAGUAGAAUAACAGCUCUGGGCGACCGUAUGACACCCGUUCGUUCAGAUUUUGAGCGACUUGCAAACUUGGGCGAUGGCAUUACCGCAUUCUUGGGCCUCUUGUUUGGGCCUUCACCUUGACUCGUUUGAUUGAACUUCAUUCUUUGGGCUGUCUGUUUUGGGGAUUCUCCAAUUGGGCUUUACUCCUUGGACUGUUCGACUUGGGCUGAAUUUUUAUGUGUCAACAGCAUCUCUUGUUCAUGUUGUAAAUUUUGUUCGUGCAAUUAUUGUGUACAUCUUUUGUUCAUGUUGUAAAUUUUGUUUGUGGAAUUAUUGUGUACGAGAACAUUUACCCAAAACUCGCACAUUACAAUCACUCUUAUUUACAUUUCAGUGAAUUCUGAAGCUUUUUAACAUUUAUCUAAAAACUUAG
RNAcentral lists this long non-coding RNA (2086 nucleotides) under Olea europaea subsp. europaea. Lineage: Eukaryota; Viridiplantae; Streptophyta; Magnoliopsida; Lamiales; Oleaceae. The record is from RNAcentral.